Callithrix jacchus (white-tufted-ear marmoset) is the source of this 292-nucleotide unclassified non-coding RNA. It matches the Rfam family "Metazoan signal recognition particle RNA". Rfam says of the family: The signal recognition particle (SRP) is a universally conserved ribonucleoprotein. It is involved in the co-translational targeting of proteins to membranes. The record is from Ensembl. NCBI's taxonomy places the organism in Eukaryota, Metazoa, Chordata, Mammalia, Primates, Cebidae.
GCCGGGCACAGUGGCACGUCCCAGCUGCUCGGGAGGCUGAGGUGGGAGGAUCGCUUGAGCUCAGGAGUUCUGGGCUGUAGUGCAAGCAAUGCUGACUGGGUGUCCGCACUAAGUUCAGCAUCAAUAUGGUGACCUCCUGGGAGUGGGGGACCACCAGGUUGCUUAAGCAGGGGUGAACCGGCCCAGGUUGGAAGCAGAACAGGUCAAACUCCUGUGCUGCUCAGUAGUGGGAUAGCGCCUGUGAAUAGCCACUGCACUCCAGCCUGGGUAACAUAGUGAGACCCUGUUUCUU